UACGAAGGGGGCUAGCGUUGCUCGGAAUUACUGGGCGUAAAGGGCGCGUAGGCGGAUACUUAAGUUAGAGGUGAAAGCCCAGGGCUCAACCCUGGAAUAGCCUUUAAUACUGGGUAUCUUGAGUUCGGGAGAGGUGAGUGGAACUCCGAGUGUAGAGGUGAAAUUCGUAGAUAUUCGGAAGAACACCAGUGGCGAAGGCGGCUAACUGGCCCAUUACUGACGCUGAGGCUCGAAAGC
Molecule: ribosomal RNA, 237 nt
Filed under: uncultured bacterium
Lineage: Bacteria
Description: partial 16S ribosomal RNA
Rfam family: Bacterial small subunit ribosomal RNA
Source: RNAcentral